This is a long non-coding RNA of Caretta caretta (loggerhead turtle), 1092 nucleotides long. RefSeq lists it as uncharacterized. NCBI's taxonomy places the organism in Eukaryota, Metazoa, Chordata, Testudines, Cheloniidae. The record is from RefSeq and is a predicted model, not a curated record.
UAUCGUCGUUGGGUGGGAGGACCCGAGAUAGCCAAUCAGAAGGCCCAGACUGGCGGUCCAUGAACACCCAAUGACAAAGCGGGAGAGAUGGGCGGGGUCCGCAUAGCCUAUCACAGUGCGGCAGGGCAGGCGUGAUUCCCCAGUACCCAAUCACAAGGCGGCUGCUGACGGCCCCUUUGCGGCCGGGGCGAACCGCGGAGGCUGCACUGAUUGGAGGAGAGGGCGGGGCUCCGAGGGGCUCCUGUCACGCUGACCUGUAACUCUCCAUUAUUAUUGAUGGAAAUGAUUUUCGUCAGUUUGGGGCUGUGUGGUGAGUUUGAUGUUCACUAACAUUUACUGGUUAAAAAACUAAUCCUGUUAAGCCUUAUUAUUAUGGUAUGCUGGUCCCCACACCAGACCCCCUACCAGAGAAAGCCCCUAACCCAAAGACCUCACAAUCUAAAUAACAAGCUGAGAAGACUAGAGGAGCCGAGAGGCCCAGAGGAAUGUGGUAACUUUCAGACGCCCUAAUCGUUGGAGCCCUGGGUGCCUGGGACCCCUGCAACAAGCGUGUGCUGCAGACCUGCAGGAUUGGUCAAUGCUACGCACAGCUCAUGAGGCACCUCGUGGUCUCGGACACCAUCCAAUGGUCCAGGGACAUCUACACUGAACACAUCACCGGCCACCGACAGUACCAGGAGGUGAGAGCUGGAGCAACAUCGUGUUUUGACUACGAGAAAGGGACUGAGAGACUUUUUUCCGUUGGACCGUACAAACUGGAACCAUAAACUCAAUGAAUGUUAAAUCUCAGCAAAUGAGGGUCAAUCCAUCCUCAUCAUCGUAUCCACUCAUUAUACUCCACACCUGAACAUAGCCAUUAUAUGAACAACAUACCCUCAUGUCCCAAUGUCUGUACUUUGACCCGUUAACCUUUUAUCCCCAAUCGGGGAUAUUGCAGAUUAUGUAUUCCUUACACCACCAGACCUUAAACCGAACUUUGCACCCCUUGAUGAUCUGUACGUUAUUCCCCGAUAACCAGAAACUUCUACACUUAAACUCUGUACCGUUCACUUUUUUUUUUAAACAUCAUCUUAAUAAAAUUUUCCCUCCUUC